RNA transcript from Fragaria vesca subsp. vesca, 1088 nucleotides. RefSeq lists it as uncharacterized. The transcript has 4 exons. Lineage: Eukaryota; Viridiplantae; Streptophyta; Magnoliopsida; Rosales; Rosaceae. The record is from RefSeq and is a predicted model, not a curated record.
AAAAUAUUGAUGUGCAAGGUGAAUUGGAUUAACAGGUGUUCUUAAUCAGGUUAUAACCGUUGACCAUGGCUUCCGAUUACGCAUUCACACAAGAGGAAUUGAACAUCAGCGACGGCGUUGGGUACCCAAAUGCCUAUGCUGAGCUCUGCCGCAACCGCCACGCUAAGUUGUAUAGUCAUGGCCCUCCAUUCACUUUCAUGCCUUACUGUCUGCAGCAACAAUAGGAUUUAAUAGCAAGAGAAUUAGAAAAGAUGUUUCCCAUUGUCGACCCCAAGGCAAAACCUACUGCCAGGCCCAAGAUUUUUGUUAGUCUGCUGUGGAAGCAACUCAACCACCUUGGGAAUGCUGGGUUUGAUCCUGCAGUGAUUCGAGUAGACCCGUAGGGCAAUGUUCUGUAUUACCAUGCUGAUUCUGCUUCUCCUCUUGCUUGGGAUAUAGAUCAUUGGUUUCCUUGCUCAAGUACCUUGGCUUUUGAGGUUUGUAUCUCUUCUUCAUUUGUGUUGAGACAGAUUGGUGUUCUUUGUUGGGUAGUUGGGUAUUAAGGUUGCAGUUAGGGUGAACACAAUUGUGUUAACCUCUUCUUAUGAUCAUCGUCGGUUUCUCUAUGGUUAACCCUACUGGGUUGUUGUUCUUCCCGUCUUUUCUCGAUCUUCAUUGGUGUUUUCUCCCUCUGAAACUACUUCUGAAUCAGCUUGGUCAGCAUUUCCUCUUCAAUUUCUGUCUUCCUUAAAAGUAUCUCCUUUUUCAUUACCACUACCAGUUAAAUGAAUUCCCAGUUUUUGUUAUAUUUUGAUCAGAAUCGAAGACCCAAGCAAGGAUUUCUGGAGAAACCAUCUGAGAGGCUCUGCCUAUUGGUUGUGAUCAAGGUUGCUAACAUAUUGUUGAUCAGAUCAGGUCAGGUUAUUCCGUUUUUGGUUUAGCGAUGGAUGUUUUUUAGUUUUUUAGUUUGGAAUUGAUUAUAUUCAUUGUACGGUUCGAAUCAAAACUGAAUUGAAUUGAAAUGGAAACUGUUUUUUCUUCUGGGUUUUGAUGUUUAUUUUUUUCUUGGUCCAAGAGGAUUUCUGAAGGUUGAAAUUUUUUUGUUCUCA